Molecule: ribosomal RNA, 492 nt
Filed under: uncultured bacterium
Lineage: Bacteria
Description: partial 16S ribosomal RNA
Rfam family: Bacterial small subunit ribosomal RNA
Source: RNAcentral
AGUGAACGCUGGCGGUAGGCCUAACACAUGCAAGUCGAACGGCAGCACAGUAAGAGCUUGCUCUUACGGGUGGCGAGUGGCGGGCGGGUGAGGAAUACAUCAGAAUCUACUUUUUCGGGGGGGAUAACGGAGGGAAACUUACGCUAAUACCGCAUACGACCUACGGGUGAAAGCAGGGGAUCUUCGCACCUUGCGCGAUUGAAUGAGCCGAUGGCGGGUUAGCUAAUUGGCGUGGUAAAGGCCCACCAAGGCGACGAUCCGUAGCUGGUCUGAGGGGAUUAUCAGCCACACUGGAACUUAGACACGGUCCAGACUCCUAAGGGAGGGAGCAGUGGGGAAUAUUGGACAAUGGGCGCAAGCCUGAUCCAGCCAUACCGCGUGGGUGAAGAAAGCCUUUGGGUUGUAAAGCCCUUUUUUUGGGAAAGAAAAGCAGCAGGUUAAUACCCCGCUGUUCUGACGGUACCCAAAGAAUAAGCACCGGCUAACUUCGUG